RNAcentral lists this unclassified non-coding RNA (316 nucleotides) under Hevea brasiliensis (rubber tree). Lineage: Eukaryota; Viridiplantae; Streptophyta; Magnoliopsida; Malpighiales; Euphorbiaceae. The record is from RNAcentral.
CAUGGGAUUUGAGAACAUUUGUUCCUACGAAGCGUAGUCUCGAAGACCUUUUUCCUCGGUUGUAUCAGUAGCUUUGCCAUUGCUUAUCACUUUUCUCAAGUUUCAAUUUCUGAAUCCUAGGAUUUUGAUCAAUAAAAAAAAUUUCCAGAAUGAAUAAACAUUCCUUGUGAUUCAACUUUGAAAUCCAAUCUUAAUUUUUUUAUGUUCCAAGAAUGCCACUCUCCAACAAGAUAAUGUUUUACAAUUCAGCAGUCAAAUGCUGGUAAAAGCGUGAGGCAACCUUGUUCAAAUUGGCAACCUUUCUCCGAGAUCUGGG